UACGAAGGGGGCUAGCGUUGCUCGGAAUCACUGGGCGUAAAGGGUGCGUAGGCGGGUCUUUAAGUCAGGGGUGAAAUCCUGGAGCUCAACUCCAGAACUGCCUUUGAUACUGAGGAUCUUGAGUCCGGGAGAGGUGAGUGGAACUGCGAGUGUAGAGGUGAAAUUCGUAGAUAUUCGCAAGAACACCAGUGGCGAAGGCGGCUCACUGGCCCGGUACUGACGCUGAGGAGCGAAAGCGUGGGGAGCAAACAGG
Molecule: ribosomal RNA, 253 nt
Filed under: uncultured bacterium
Lineage: Bacteria
Description: partial 16S ribosomal RNA
Rfam family: Bacterial small subunit ribosomal RNA
Source: RNAcentral